CGUUUUGUCCGUGUAUAGGACUUCCUCAGGGACUUUGGUAGGGUGCAGUAACAAAUCCAAAUAAAUUUAUUUUUAAGUCCCUGAGGAAGUCCUAUACAUGGACGAAACG
This is a non-coding RNA of Pelobates cultripes (western spadefoot toad), 109 nucleotides long. The record is from the annotation of a GenBank genome assembly. Lineage: Eukaryota; Metazoa; Chordata; Amphibia; Anura; Pelobatidae.